RNAcentral lists this unclassified non-coding RNA (339 nucleotides) under soil metagenome. Its description in RNAcentral is "partial contains 5.8S ribosomal RNA, internal transcribed spacer 2, and large subunit ribosomal RNA". The stretch from base 1 to 120 matches the Rfam family "5.8S ribosomal RNA", at positions 35 to 154 of the family's 154-position model. The record is from RNAcentral.
GAUGAAGAACGUAGCGAAAUGCGAUAAGUAAUGCGAAUUGGAGAAUUCCGUGAGUCAUCGAAUCUUUGAACGCACAUUGCGCCCUCUGGUAUUCCGGAGGGCAUGCCUGUCUGAGCGUCAUUGUCAACCCUCAAGCUCAGCUUGCUGUUGGGUCCCCGUCGUUGCUUUAACGGCGGACCCGAAAGGUAAUGGCAGAGUCCGUGAGACCCUAGACGCAGCGAGCUUCUAGCACGCGUCUGGACGUUUUUCGGGCUCGGUCUUAACUAGAUGAUAACUUCCGAUUGACCUCAGAUCAGGUAGGGAUACCCGCUGAACUUAAGCAUAUCAAUAAGCGGAGGA